Pezoporus flaviventris is the source of this 1943-nucleotide long non-coding RNA. RefSeq lists it as uncharacterized. The transcript is spliced from 4 exons. NCBI's taxonomy places the organism in Eukaryota, Metazoa, Chordata, Aves, Psittaciformes, Psittacidae. The record is from RefSeq and is a predicted model, not a curated record.
UAUUCUUGCUUUCCAGGGAAUGCUGGCAGGUUUGGCUCUGUGCAUCAUACCACAAAAAUCUCACUCCUCCAGAAGAGGGCUAAUACACGAAGGAGCUUUCUACCAGGCUGAUGUAUCACACAUGCUUUAUAUAUCAGCUUGGAUUUCUUCAGUCCAGACAAAAGGAUCAAAGACAUAGGGAGGGGCAUGCGUAUGGGGAAGCUUUAAUUUUUGCAGACGUGGAGAGCAGGGCAGCAUAGCAUGGCUAAAAAAGCUUAGACAUAGCCAAAUGUAAGAAAUUGUAUUUAUGAGCUGUGCUCAGAAAUUGCCUCUGAAGCUUGCAGAGCAGCUGGUGUCACUUUCAGCUGACAUUUGUACAACUGAAACACAUACAGUGCAGCCAGGAGCAGGAAAUACAAGUUACGGACAAAGAUUUGUUGGACACAGGACUAGGAAAUAAAGUGUUGUGUGGUCCAGGUUGCCUUUAUACGGAUUUAUGUCAUAUUAUCUACAUGAAGCUAAGGCAGGUAUUAAUCCCAAGGCUGAAAUAUUGCUGGGGAUGGGAGUAAAUUUAAAUGUAUUCAGCUGAACUAUUUUUCAAAAGGAUACUAUUAUAGGCUCUGACAGAGGUGUCCACCUUUCAACAGGCAGACAUCUGAGAUCCUGUCAUUCUUCUCUAGCUCUGAGUGUGUUCUACAGUCACACCCUCAACUUGGAGAAGUUACCUGUGAAGGAACAGCAAUGCCUACUGCAUAGUGGAAAGCUGAUACAAUAUCAGCAAGGAUUGUGGCAGCCGUGCUUGCAGUAAAAGAGGGAAGGAACUGCGCUGUUGAGUGCUACAACAUCAUUACACAAAUUCAUUUACAACAUCACCCAGGGACAGGGAGUGUGCAUGGAGUAACUUUAUCCCUAACAUUCAAUUUAUUUGGAAACUGGGAGUGGAUGCAAACAUAGCACCUCUUUUGGGUGCUGUCAGGAUAGAAGAAACCAAGCACCCUCUACUAUUCCAAAUCUGACUCAACUGUUGCUUUGCAGAGGUGUCUCACCAGAUCAUGAAAGUCAUAAUACCACUGCCUUUAGAGGCUUACUGAGGUCUCAACUGGGAGGUGGGAAGGGAUUCUUAAAACAGAGGCUCCUGGACCCAUGACAAGACUGAGUGUGAGAGCAGUUCAAGGGAAGUCUUAACCAGCGGGAGGCCAGAACAACAGUUCUGGUACUGUAUCCUGAUCUUGCUUCAGUGGAUUUACAGCUGGUUCCUUUCCUGGAAUGAAAAGAUUAGAAUCGCUGGAGCUGCAUGUGCGUCUUCCAGUGAGGGGAACUAGAUAUGGGACAGCCCGGCUGCAAGAAAUCAAGGUUACAAAACCUGACGAGAGGAAUUUCAGAGCAGUUUGACAAGAUUAGACUGUGUACUUCAUUAUGUGACAUGGAGACUGCUAUCCUGGAUCAAGCUACAGAUCCAGAAUCUGUUCUGACUCUUGAGCAGUGGCAAGUGCCAUCUGUAAAGAAAAAGCACAAAAACCUCCUAAACAACAAUUAUGGAAAGUUGCCCUUGGAAAGUUUCUUCCUGACAUAUAUUGGCAAGAAAUCAUUUUAUUCUGAGAGUUUCCAUGCCCUCCCCAGAAAUCCUUAUUAGUCUUCUUGCAAGGUCAUUAUUGAUUAAGAUGUUUUAAGUACAUAAAACAACACUAGGAUUUGCAGAAAUAUUUGUUAUGUAAAGACUUUUUUACCCCCUUAAUAACUUUUCACAGCCCCUCACAGAAUUUGUUGAGCAAGACUGAGAUUAGAGUCUGUUUUGGACUUUGUCCUAGAAAACAAGCCAAAUAUGAUAAAUAAAAUAAAACAUCUGGAGGUCUAGCCAUCAGAAUAUCAUCAGAUAUCUACUGAUUCUGAGGGAAUGUUAUAUAUAGAAGGUAAUAAUCUGAAGUGGUGGGCUUUUCAUAAAAUACAACUCUGAAAGAAUGUAG